GGAGGAGAGUGUCGCUACUUUACGAAGUUAAAGGGGUUUUAGCGGCGCCGCGCUCCCCCUCCUCUUCUGGUUUCUGCAUUGGAUUGACACGGCUCGCUACAUGCUUGAGCUCGUACUUCCGAUCACAGAUUGGUGUGCGCCUGCUUUUUGCACUCGGCUUCCAACAGGUCGCUCGCUGCUAGCGCCAGUUCGAAUAUAUAUACAUGCAUGGCUAGCGCAGACAUGCUAUUUGCCGUGCACUUACCGUGUAAGCACAGACAAGUGUGUGGCUGCUUUUCGCACUGGGCUGUUAGCAGCUCGCUCGCUGCUAGCGCUUAAACACGGAGUGGUCAUCGACAAGUUCAGAAAUGUUUUGCCGUAGCCUUACCGUGCAUGUAAGCACGCAGGAAUCCCGGAAAAAAUACACGUAAGGGACAGGAAACUACGCUUUAUUUUUCCUUUACUUUGUGAUGUACUUCCACACUGAGUAGCGCCGAGCGAUGGCUUCUAACAACUUUGUGGACCCAUCACGGGCGCUCACACGCAAAAAAAAAAAAAAAAAAAAGAAAUACCCGCCGUGCACGUUGCUUAGUGGCUGUGGUGUUAGGCUGCUAAUAAGCACGAGGUCGCGACAUAGAAUCCCGGCCACAGCGGCCGCAUUUCUAUGGGGGGGAAAUGCGAAAACACUCGUGUACUUAGACUUAGGCGCACGUCAAAGAACCCCAAGUGGUCCAAAUUUCCGGAGUCCCCACUACGGCGUGCCUGAUAAUGAGAUCGUGGUUUUGGCACGUGAAACCCCUUUUUUUUUUUUUUUUUUUUUAUAGGAAGUUAUUGACAAAAAGUGAAGCGCCACCUCCCCACCGCAACUCCACCGUUGCUGCUGGAAUCGCACUUGAUAUAUGCCCACGCGCGCUGCAAACUCUUUUCUGCAUUUGUUGAAACCAUGGAGGAAGGAAACCACGGAGGAAGGAAAAGUUUCCUUCCUCCGUGGUUGAAACCAUCGCUCGAUCGGCGCUACCCAAUGUGCAUGUAUGUACAUCACAAGGUAAAGGAAAUACAAAGAGUAGUUUCCCGUUCCUUUGCUUGUAUGUUUUCCUGCAUUCCUGCGUGCUUACAUGCACGGUAAGCGCGCGGCAAGAAGCAUGUCCGCGCUACCCGACGCCUUUUAGCGCGAGCAGCGUGUUAAAAGCAGGUGCACCAAUCGGAAAUGCGAGUGCAAGUAGGUAGCGAGCCGCGCCAAUCCAAUGCAGAAGACAGAGGAGGAGGAGGAGCGAGGCGCCGCGAAUCUGUGACUCGGCCCAAUAGCUCAGCGUUUGCGCUACAGACGGAUGCUUCUCAACCUGUCGCGUCCCUAUCGAUCUUGCUUCCAUCUUCAAUAUCUAUUCAACCAAUGACUGAGGAAGGAGACGCUACCAUUGACGUGUCACUUCGCGCAUAUGAGCCGGCGGGCCAGUGCGACGACCGGUAUUGGGGAAACAAGGCGCAGCGUGAUCAAAGUGUCCUAGUGGAUAGCACCACCAACCACCAAGCUUGCUGAUUGCGGAAAGAAAGAGGCGCGAAGAUCCAAAUCCAGCAACUUCCACAGAGUUGACAAAUAUCAGCUGGAGCGUAAUCACCUGCAAGAGGACAGCCUUGUGGAUGACAUUUCCUUUUUAAUAGAGGCAGCCUAGCAGAAGCAACCUGCUGCAUUUUUUCUGCGUGACCAGAGAGAAACUUCCGGAAAAGAAGAACAACUUGGUCUGAGGAGACAACUCGUCACUGUGUUGUUCUCAGGCACUUGUCAACAAGGGCUUAUGAACAUGUGCAGGGCAAGGAACUCGUGAGACUGCCUAGUAGAAACAUUCUAUCUGCAUAUGACGGUAUACAAGAUGUAGACAGGCUUCACAAAGCUGAUUGAAACAUGGCUCCGAACAGAAUGCCAGGAUUUGCUGGCACCCCAGUCCAGGGUGCGCUCUCUCAUUCUUGAUGAGAUGCGGGUAAAAGAGAAACUCCAGUACCACAAGCAGCAAGUCUGUUUUCUUGGCCACAUAGAACUUGGCUCGAGAGACCGCAAUGAUAUUGUUUUAGCGAACUCGCUCCUCUGUUUUGUGAUCAGCGGAUUGUCCACAUCUUGCAGAAUCCCGGUAGGCUACUUUUUUCGCCAAAGGGCUGACUGGCAUUCAAUUCCAUGAGCUGGUUCUCUUCAUCUUGAAGAAAAUGGAACUUGAUCCUGGGACAUGGCUGACUUAUCGGAUCGAACAUUCCUGUGACCCUGAGCGACCCUUUCUCCUUAGCUUUGAUCUGUGCCACGUUCUGAAAAAAUGUGUGCUCCCAGUUCUUGGCCCAUGACAUCGGGCCAAAAGGAAAAAUAUCAUCUUCACAUCUCAAAGCUGUUUAAGAGCUUCAUAAAGACUUGACAGCAAGACCAGUGUGCUACCUCAGUCACAAGCAUGUCUACCCAAACAAUAUUGCAAAGGUGAAUGUCAGACGGACUGUGCAGGUGUUAUCUCCUGGUGUAACCGUCACCUUGUAGUGCCUGAAAGAAUGAGCGGGUCACACUUGCAGCGUAUCAUUUGCAAGCGCAGGCCCUAGUAUUACAUUCAUGAAGUACUUUUAUCGUUGGUUUGUUCUUCAUGACACGAGCAACACAAUGCAGCACCUUUGUCAGAACUUCGCAAAUGCCCGGCAUUAUGAUGAUGACCGGCUCGAGUGACUUGGAGCUACUAUGCCAAUGUACUUGGAGGAGUUAAAAAAGGGAUGUAGCCAUCCGAAGGAGUUUUUGACCAAGGAAAGAUAUUGUCACGAGCACGGUUGGCUGUGUACUGGGUUUGCCGCUUCUGCAGAUGCUGAGGCCGACAAUGACGAAGAUGCAUUCCCACUGAAGGUGUCGGACGGUAACUGUCUGCUUCCAUUUGAUUAAACUCAGACAGUUUUCAUCAUAUAUAUAGUAAUGUGACUGGUGGAGGUUCGGGGUAAACCGUUCCAUGCUCUGUGACCAAUAGGAAGCUCCCAAAUUAGGUUGCGACACCUUUGACACUGACCUUUGGCGCAGCCGGCGACAACUAGGACUAUCACUAGAGCUGGACCCACUCUCAAUAGUGCAGCCAUGACAAGCAGUUCAAUGAAUAGCCAGACUGGAGAGAGCACCACUCCACCUGCUCCGUGGAUUUACAACAUGCCGUGAACACCAAGGUCGUUUCACGGUGACGCGUUCAAGGAUGUUGAGAACUGGCUGGACCACUACAAUCGAGUUGCCAGCGUCAGUGAAUAGGAGGACCACCGGAAGCUCCGGUAUGUCUACUUCGCCCUCGAGGAUUCGGUGUGCAUCUGGUUAGAAAACCACGAAGCUAGUUUGGCGACCUGGCAAGAAUUUUGUAGCCAGCUGCGCAAUACCUAUGGAAAUUUAGACCAGCAGGAGCAAGAGAACGUGCUCUCAAUUCCAGGAAUUGAAGACCAAAUGAGAGUGUCGCCGUGUUUGUUGAGGACAUGCCGCGGCUGUUCCGGCACGCUGAUCUCGGGGGCUGCUGGUUUUCAUAGCAUCAAAUGGUUCCCGGCCCAUAUGGGAAUCAAUGUGUACUCUGAGGUUGUUAACGCCAAUGAGUUGGCCCAUGACUGUGCGCAAGGUCUCGCACACCGCGGCGGUUCAGGUGGACUCGUGGGCGGCGACUUAGGACUGUACAGGGAUUCGCUUCUCACCUUCCAUGAAAUCUUGGCACAUUAUCAACUUGCUUGGCGGGCCUUUCCACUACCACACCCUAAACUUAAUAGACCACAAUCGUCGGCGUUUCGCAUGCUUCAAACGGGGUCAUUUCCCUCCAGGGGCCGAUUCAGUCACUUCGCGCCUAAUGUAGAACUCCACUGUCCAGACUGUGGGGAGGCAUACUGCUCCUUAUCCCAUAUGCUCUGGCAAUGCCCUGCGUUACGCAGCUCAUCGCUAAGCACUCUAACUGACUGGGAGGCAGCCCUUAAGAAUGGCGACCUCUCAGAGCAACUACGAGCUGUCCAGAGGGCCUGCGACAGGGCGGAGGACCACGAUCUUCCGACCCUGACGUGGGUGCGGCCCGCGACGACUACGGGAACUCCCUGAAAAGGGAGGUACCCUAACGCCGGUUCCUCAGGACCAUUAAUAAAGUUCUUUGUCUGUCUGUCUGUCUGAUCUCGGAAUGACAGAAGAAGAAGUGUGCUUGUUGAUGCAGGGCAUGAAAGAGCAGUUGUUCGUAGGUCUAGUGCACCACCAGGCUACGUUACCUACCAGGUAACAUAGCCGAACUCUUAAACGACGCAACAACGAUAGCGCGUAUGCUAUGGCAGCGGUCAUCGCAGUACAAGCACCAAAGCAUCUUCACAUCUCGUCAUCUAUGGCCACCCGAUUUGACGACCCUAAGGGAGUUCAUGCGCAGUAUGUACACGAGGAGCUGCAACAAGUUCCUGCAAUGUCUUCUCCAUCCCACGUGACUGCUUUAAGUAAUGUGGUUCGUGAAGAGGCCAGGCAGCUGGUACAACUGCUGGUCACGCUGCCAUUCGCAGCCCCUCUCCUGAAGUAUGCUGAAGCCUUAAAAUCUCCUAUGUCAUCAGUUGGCUAUUCAUCCCACCCACCCACGCAACAGCGGACACAGCACUUCUCAAGUCCUCAGUACUUUUCGAGCCCUCUGCCUUCGUCAAGCCCAAGUAAAAAUAUGCGGAAGUCCAGUGUUUGGCGCACUCCAGACAAUCGGCCGCUCUAAUACCAUUGUGGUGAAGCAGGCCACCUAUAUCGAGAGCGUACAUAUGGUCAGAUGGGCCUUCCUGGGUUUCGCCCAGAUGCACGUCGGCCCCGUGAUAGUGAGCAUCGCCAAGCUAUUGUCGAGUACUUGGCGAGCCAGCAGUCCCCGACUUUUCCACGAUGCCAGCCCCGCUCUCCAUCUCCUUGACGUUCUAUGUACCCUGGCCAGCGCUUGCCAUUUGCUCAUGGCGUUGGGGGCGCAGAUCCCUUAGGUCCUGAAGCCCAUGCCGGAAAAACUAGGAGGAGCGACCUCCGGGGGUGGGGGCCACUGUUGACAGAUUUUUAAAACAUCCUCGUCCCCGCUACGCCAGCCGACCGCCAACGAUUCCCUUUCACCGCCACAUGCCGUUGGCUACAAAAGUGUUUCCGCAGACAUCCCCAUUCAAGUCGACACCUACCCGGUCACUGCCCUCGUGGACACUGGCACCGAUUAUUCUGUUAUCAGUGCCAAACUAGCUGCUGAACUGAGGAAAGUCACGACUCCAUGACACGGGCCAAGCCUUCGGACAGCAGAUGGUCAUCUCUUGAGGGUGAUUGGGAGAUGCACCACCAGGCUCCAAAUCCGACAGUCAAUGUACUUUGCUUCGUUUAUCGUGUUGCACGAGUGCUCUCAGAAAGUCAUCCUUGGGAUGAAUUUUCUUCGCGAGCACGGUGCUGUUAUUGAUCUUCGGGAGCUGAUUAUAACAUUUUCUGACAACUGUGCCCCAGUACUGCAAGAUAGUAACACGCUUAAGGCAGCAUUGUGUGUUGUUGAUGACACUGUGACACUCCCGCUGCAAACUAGUAUGUUUAUAACUGUUGAAAGCGACUGCGGCCAUGAUAGUAGCGGCAUCGCUGAAGAAAACUUGUCGGUGCUCUUGGCUCGGCAAGUCUGUGUCGCCUGUGGCAUUAUUCAACUGAACUGCCGAAUGGCUGAGCUUUUAGUUGACAAACUUCAGUGGCGAGUACCAACGCAUGGCAGAGCGAACGGCCAUUGCUCACUUUGAAGAUAUUAGAGGUGCAAUAGGUCCUACGCAUGCUGAACUUGCUGCAACCGCUAAGAGUGACACCAUGGUUGUCAGUACAGUCAAUGUAAAUCCUGAGCUGUCAGCCACAUAGAAAGAGUGAAAGAGUAAGUAUUUUGUGCGUGUGCAGUGAUUGUUUCACAUCCACGCCAAAAGCAACACAGACCCCCAUCGUGAAGCACCGUAUUAUAACAGAUCCGAUCGAACAUCCUGUGCGUCAGCACGUCUACUACAUGUCACAAAAGGAGCAAGAGGUUUCCUGAAACCUAUUGCACCACCAACACAACCAUUUCAACAAAUCAGCAUGGACUUUUUCUGGUAAUCAGAAGUCUUUUUCUGGUAACUGCUGGAUCGUGGUUGCGACUGAUUACCUGACGUGAUACUGCGAAACGGGAGCCUUCCAGUGAGCCACUGCUAGUGAUGUGCACUUUUUCAUUCACAGCAUAGUCCUCCGGCAUGGUGCACCAGCAGUAGUCAUUACAGAUUGUGGUACAGGUAUCACAGCUCAGAUAACGCAAGACGUCAUGAUGCUUAGUGGAACAGCUCAUCGCCAAGCCACUGCAUAUCAUCCUCAGACCAAUUGUCUUACGGAGAGGUUAAAUAAGACAAUCGCUGACAUGCUUUCCAUGUAUAUCGACAACAGGAUGAUGUUUUGCCUUACGUUACAUUUGCAUACAACACUGCUGUUCAAGAAACUACUGGGUUCACUCCUUUCUGUUUACUCAACGGCCAUGAGGCAACCACCAUGCUGGACGCCAGGCUCCUCCCUGAACAAUACGACAUUACCAUUGGCACAGAGGAAUUUACCCGGCUCACAGACGCAGCUCGCAAGCUUGCACACAAGCGAAUCCAGAAUCGGCAAUCCAUAGACUCCUAGAAGUAUAACGCUCGCCAUCGCGAUGUUGUCUACCAACCCAGUGAUCAAGUUUGGGUAUGGACCUCGAUUCGCCAAUGCAGCCAGUUGGAAAAGUUACUGCACAGCUACUUCGGCUCUUACAGAGUCAUCCGUCGCCUCAGCAAGGUGAACUAAGAAGUUCUCCCUGAAGACACCAAUCGGCGAUCCUAUCUCGUGCACCCUACAGAUAUUGUGCAUGUUUCCAGGAUGAAACCGUACCACUCAUCUUGAUGAGACCAUUCUCACUUCCACUCGCCUUGAUCCCUCUUGUGUGACACUUUCCUCUUCACAAACUUUUAUCUGUGUUGCCUUGUAUGUGCUUUGUUUCUUUCCCUCUAUUUCACAUUUGAAGCACCAAGACGAUGCUUUCUGGAAGGGGGGUAAUGUCAUGAGCGCAGUUGGCUGUGUAGUGGGUUUGCCGCUUCUGCAGAAGCUGAGGGCGAUGACGAUGAAGACACACUCUCAGUGAAGGUGUCGAACGGGAGCUGUCUGCUUCCAUUUGAUUAAGCUCAACAGUUCUUCAUCUAUUGCAGCACCACCAGAUGGCAGCAAAGUGCUCAUCAGCAUGUAGACUUGUCUGCCAGACAAGCAGGUCCGGAAUCCUCACUACCUGCAACU
Non-coding RNA from Dermacentor andersoni, 7237 nucleotides. The record is from RefSeq and is a predicted model, not a curated record. Lineage: Eukaryota; Metazoa; Arthropoda; Arachnida; Ixodida; Ixodidae.